CCUACGGGCGGCAGCAGUGGGGAAUAUUGCACAAUGGGGGGAACCUUGAUGCAGCAACGCCGCGUGGGUGAAGAAGUACUCCGGUAUGUAAAGCCCUGUUAGCAGGGAAGAAAAUGACGGUACCUGACCAAGAAGCCCCGGCUAACUACGUGCCAGCAGCCGCGGUAAUACGUAGGGGGCAAGCGUUAUCCGGAUUUAAUGGGGGGAAAGGGAGCGUAGACGGCAAGGCAAGUCUGGGGUGAAAGCCCGUGGCCCAACCAGGGGAAGGCUUUGGAAACUGGGUUGGUGGAGUGCAGGAGGGGUAAGCGGAAUGCCUGGUGUAGCGGUAAAAUGCGUAGAUAUUAGGAGGAACACCAGUGGCGAAGGCGGCUUACUGGACUGUAACUGACGUUGAGGCUCGAAGGCGUGGGGAGCAAACAGGAUUAGAUACCCUUGUAGUC
RNAcentral lists this ribosomal RNA (440 nucleotides) under uncultured bacterium. RNAcentral's name for it is "partial 16S ribosomal RNA". It matches the Rfam family "Bacterial small subunit ribosomal RNA", at positions 338 to 795 of the family's 1533-position model. The record is from RNAcentral.